Molecule: ribosomal RNA, 619 nt
Filed under: Micromonospora sp. WYP-7
Lineage: Bacteria; Bacillati; Actinomycetota; Actinomycetes; Micromonosporales; Micromonosporaceae
Description: bacterial SSU rRNA
Rfam family: Bacterial small subunit ribosomal RNA
Source: RNAcentral
AGGUUUUUCUUAAGCGACGACGGGUAGCCGGCCUGAGAGGGCGACCGGCCACACUGGGACUGAGACACGGCCCAGACUCCUACGGGAGGCAGCAGUGGGGAAUAUUGCACAAUGGGCGGAAGCCUGAUGCAGCGACGCCGCGUGAGGGAUGACGGCCUUCGGGUUGUAAACCUCUUUCAGCAGGGACGAAGCGUAAGUGACGGUACCUGCAGAAGAAGCGCCGGCCAACUACGUGCCAGCAGCCGCGGUAAGACGUAGGGCGCGAGCGUUGUCCGGAUUUAUUGGGCGUAAAGAGCUCGUAGGCGGCUUGUCGCGUCGACCGUGAAAACUUGGGGCUCAACCCCAAGCCUGCGGUCGAUACGGGCAGGCUAGAGUUCGGUAGGGGAGACUGGAAUUCCUGGUGUAGCGGUGAAAUGCGCAGAUAUCAGGAGGAACACCGGUGGCGAAGGCGGGUCUCUGGGCCGAUACUGACGCUGAGGAGCGAAAGCGUGGGGAGCGAACAGGAUUAGAUACCCUGGUAGUCCACGCUGUAAACGUUGGGCGCUAGGUGUGGGGGGCCUCUCCGGUUCCCUGUGCCGCAGCUAACGCAUUAAGCGCCCCGCCUGGGGGGAGUACGGAC